This is a long non-coding RNA of Lontra canadensis (Northern American river otter), 460 nucleotides long. RefSeq lists it as uncharacterized. Lineage: Eukaryota; Metazoa; Chordata; Mammalia; Carnivora; Mustelidae. The record is from RefSeq and is a predicted model, not a curated record. The transcript is spliced from 4 exons.
CUGUUUAAGUGUUCCUACCAAGAGAGCAGUGUUGAGCCCCUAGUGCCUUCUGUUUCAGCAUCAGGGAAGAGCCAAGAGGAGGAAAGGUGGGACUCUGAAAGGGUGGAAAACUUGCCAGAGAGAAGUAGGGGGAGCCAAGAAAGAUGCUUUCUCUUCUGUAAAGCCCACUAGGCCGGCGUCAUGAUACCAUCCACUUUCAUCAACUAUUAUGUCCAGAUCCCUUCUGUGAUGUAUGUAACAGCACAACUGCUGAGGUGAAUCGGCUGCUGUUCCAGAGGUCCUGGAAGAUGCUACUCCCUCUGUGAUCCCCUUGGUUUCUACAGCUUCUGUGACUGACUCCUCAUUCACUUUGUCUCCCGACUUCUCUGCAGUUGCUCCAGGAGACCUAAUACCAGCCUCUUUGCCUGAGCCUUCCCCCCAAUCCCCUCCAUCUUCUAACCUAAACCACCUAACCUUAGGU